GACGAACGCUGGCGGCGUGCUUAACACAUGCAAGUCGAACGGUAAGGCCCCAGCUUGCUGGGGUACACGAGUGGCGAACGGGUGAGUAACACGUGGGUGACCUGCCCCGCACUUCGGGAUAAGCCUGGGAAACUGGGUCUAAUACCGGAUAGGACCGCACCGUGAGGGUGUGGUGGAAAGUUUUUCGGUGUGGGAUGGGCCCGCGGCCUAUCAGCUUGUUGGUGGGGUAAUGGCCUACCAAGGCGGCGACGGGUAGCCGGCCUGAGAGGGUGGACGGCCACAUUGGGACUGAGACACGGCCCAGACUCCUACGGGAGGCAGCAGUGGGGAAUAUUGCACAAUGGGCGGAAGCCUGAUGCAGCGACGCCGCGUGGGGGAUGACGGCCUUCGGGUUGUAAACUCCUUUCACCAUCGACGAAGGUUUUCUGACGGUAGAUGGAGAAGAAGCACCGGCUAACCACGUG
This 464-nucleotide ribosomal RNA is filed under the name uncultured bacterium. RNAcentral's name for it is "partial 16S ribosomal RNA". It matches the Rfam family "Bacterial small subunit ribosomal RNA", at positions 28 to 507 of the family's 1533-position model. The record is from RNAcentral.